UUUCGAAGAAGACAGAAAAAUCUUUGAUGAUUAUGAGAUACACUAAGUAAUUUGAAACAAAUAUGAUUUUACAACAAUGGAAUAGUGGGUUUACUGCAUUAACUUGUAAACUAAACUUACAUUGAAGAUGCUAAACAACUGAAAUGAAAUUACCAACAACAACAUAGAAGAAGUAGAAAGGGGUGAGAAGAGAGAAUACAAAUGGAGAUGAGAACAGAGAAACUGCAAUCACAACUGCCUCCUCCACUUAGAUCUAUCCCUAGGUAUUUAUAAUUAAUUCACACGAUAAAAUUAGUUAACUUCUUUGAGGGUUGUUUCACACGUGCACUUCGCCUCAACACAGGUUGAAUGUCCACGAGGUUUCCUUCUGAAGUGUCAUCUUUGUCAGCGUCCAUGUCAGCAGUGUUAUUUAUAACAAUACUCCCUUCCUGUAGAAGAACCUUGUCCGCAAGGUUCUGUGCUGAUGCAAUUUCUGGUUGUUCAAAGUCUGUGAGCUGCAAUGGUGUAAUCUGCUGGUCUGGUUCGCCUAAGCAGUGCCUGAGUAUAGAUACAUGGAAAACGGGAUGAAUGUGGGCUGCUUCAGGAAGUUCCAACUUGUAUUCUACUUCUCCAACGCGUUUGAGAACACGAAAUGGACCAAAAUAGCAUCUGCCCAAUUUUGGAUGUUGUUGAUGGCGCACAGUAUUUUGACGAUACGGUUUGAGUUUGACAAAGACCCAGUUGCCCUGUUUGAAGGAGAUCCCAACUCAUUUUCUGUCAGCAACCUCUUUCAUGCGAUUUUGGGCUUUGAUCAAAUUCUGCUUAAGCAAGGAAAUAAUUUCAUCCCGAUCAACCAGAUAAGCCUCUACCAAGUCAUUUGAACUGCUCCCCAUAAUAUAGCACGCUACAUUUGGUGGAUCUCUACCAUAAAGCUCCUUGAAAGGGGUCAUCCCUGCUGAUGUGUGAUAGGAAGUAUUGUACCAAUACUCAGCCCAUGGUAGCAUUGCUACCCAUUUAUGAGGUGCGUCAGCCACAAAACACCGUAAAUGCUGUUUAACACACUUAUUUAGAGCCUCAUAUUAUCCGUCUGUUUGGGGAUGACAAGCGGUACUCAUAUCCAAGGUGGUACCCUGCAAUCUGUUAAUUUCCUGCCAAAACGAGUGCAAGAACCUUGGGUCUCUAUCCGUGAUGAUACUCCUCGGAGGUCCAUGUAAUCGAAUGAUUUCCCCCACAAAAUUCUCAGCUACUGUCCGUGUAGAAAAAGUAGAAGUUAAAGGAAUAAAAUGGCCAUACUUCGUCAAUCUAUCCACUACAGUCAUUAUUGUGGACUUCCCUCUAGAACUAGGUAAACAGGUGAUGAAAUCCAUGGCUAUGUCUUCGAAAGCCAUUUCUGGUAUUGGUAAGGGUUGCAGAAGACCUGUUGGAUGAUGGUGAACAUCUUUCAUUUGUUGGCAAGUUUGACAAGUUGCCACAAAGCUUUGAAUAUCCUUGCGCAUUUGCUUCCAAAAGAAAUUUGAUGCCAAACGAUGGUAAGUGCGAGCGACUCCGACAUGUCCACCUACUGCUGUGGAAUGAAACUUAGUCAUUAAAUCAUUGCGAAGUUGAGAAUCAGAAGGAAUAACUAGGCGUCCUCUGAAAAAGAGCAACCCAUCACGGAACACAUGACCCACAUGUAGUUCCGGAUGGCUCUCUAGUCCUUUUUGGAGCUCAAGCAACUCUGGAUGAGACUUGUUAAGGGAUCUCAAUGUUUGUUCAACCUCGUAGCUCUGAGUAGUGAUUGUAAGUAAGGUAGCAUCAGUGUUGCGAGAUAAAGCAUAAGCUGCUUGAUUCUGUUUACCUGGACGAUAAACAAUUUUGAAAUCAUAUCCCAUCAAUUUACUGAGCCAUUUUUGUUGUUCAGGGGUUUGGAUAGUUUGAUUAGUCAAGCUUUUUAAGGAUUGUUGAUCAGUGUAUAUUGUGAAUUUGCGCCCCAACAGAUAUUGACGCCAUUUGCCCACAGAUUGAGUUAUAGCGAACAUCUCUCGAUGAUAAGUGGAAGCCCGUUGCAUUCGAGGACUUAAUUUCUGGUUGAAAUAGGCUACUGGGUGUCCCUUUUGUGAGAGAACAGCUCUUAUACCCUGUCUUGAUACGUCUGUCUCAAGUUGAAACUCUUGGGAGAAGUCUGAAAGUGCUAAAACAGGAGUUGAGCUUAACUUUACCUUCAAGGUCUCGAAAGCUUCUUGUGCAGACUCGCUCCAUACAAAGGAAUAUUUCCGCAACAAAUCCGUAAGAGGUCCUGCAAUAGUUGCAUAAUGAUGUAUGAAUCAUCUGUAAUAUCCAGUAAGACCAAGAAAACUAUGCACAUCCUUGACAUUUUUGGGUACCGGCCACUGCUGGACAGCAACUAUUUUACAAGGAUCCACGCUAAGACCUUGAUUUGAAAGCACAUGUCCCAAAUAUUCCAUGGAGGUUUGGCCAAAGAGACAUUUAGCUCGCUUUGCAACGAGCUGAUGUUGUCUAAGAAUUAACAACACAACUUGCAAAUGAUCCAUAUGGUCUGUCCAAGUGGCACUAUAAACCAGAAUAUCAUCAAAGAAUACCAAUACGAAGCGACGCAAAUAUGGUCUAAACAUCUCAUUCAUAGUCGCUUGAAAAGUAGAGGAAGCAUUUGAUAAUCCAAAUGGCAUUACUAGAAACUCGUAAUAUCCAUCAUGUGUUCUAAAUGUUGUCUUUACCACAUCCUCAGGUCGAACUCUAAUUUGAUGGUACCCCGAGAGCAGGUCGAGUUUAGAAAAAUAAACUGUACCGUGUAGCUCAUCAAAAAGUUCAUCUAUGGUUGAUAUAGGAAAUAUAUCCCUCACAGUUACUGCAUUGAGUGCUCUAUAGUCCACGCAAAAUCUCCAAGUUUCGUCUUUUUUACGAACAAGUAGGACCGGGGAGGAAAAGGGGCUAGUGCUUGCCCUGAUGACUCCCUCUUUGAGCAUAUCGACAACCAAUUGUUCCAUGACUUGUUUCUGGAAAUAGGGAUACUUAUAAGGUUUGACAUUUGCCGGCUCAGUCCCCGGUAAUAGAUGUAUAGCGUGGUCCUGAGGUUGGACAGGUGGUAGUCCUUGUGGCUUUUGAAAAACAUCAACAAAUGAGUCAAGGAUAGCUACUAAAUCAGGCGGUAUCUCAUCAGUGGGUGAAGAUUCUGAAGGAACUACUUGCAAGCAAAAAUAAGACAAAAUAGCAUCUGUGGCUGCAUACCGUCUUAUACUGUGUAAUUGCACUGGUUGAGCAUCAGCCGGUGCCUUUCCUUUCCAACUGAUAGUUGUUCCUUGAUGAGAAAAUUCAAAGAGGUGAGUGGCAUAGUCAGUGACCACUGGACCUAGUGUGGAUAGCCAAGAGACCCCAAGGACCACAUCUGAUCCAUGAAGAGAAAGCACAUAUAAGUCAAGAAAAAUGUCACAUCCCUGAAUAGAUAAUGGAACCUUGCGUGAAACGCCUUCACACCACAGAUGCUGGCCACUGCCCACGACCACUGAAAAACGGGGAAUUGGCUCUAUCUUUAAUUGCAAAAAUUUAGCUACCCUUGUCUUAACAAAAUUAUCAGUGCUACCUCCAUCUAUCAACACUUGAACUGGAGAUCCGUUCACAUGUCCCGUGAAGCAGAGAGUUGUGGGUGAAUUCUCACCAGCAAGAGCAUGAUACGAUAUGGCUGAAUGUUCCUGGACUUCUAAUCAUGGCAAUUCCUCUGCUAUUAUAUCAUCAGAGACGAAUGAUUCUGGUAAAGAAGAAUCAAUUUCAGAUCCAUUAGUAAGUAGCAAUAGCUGGGGUAAGUUUUUGCAUUUAUGAGUAGAAGAAUAUUUCUCAUCACAAUAGUAACAAAGCCCGCGUUCUCGGCGAUUUUGAAUUUCAGCAUGAGUGAGUCUUUUAAGAGGUGGUCUGCCAGAGUUUGGGCGAGAGAGAGUUAUUGGUAUAAGAGAAUUGGAAGAAUUUGAGGGAAGGUUUGUAGCUAGGUUGGGCGUAGGAAGUAAAGGUUGUGUCUUAGCAAAAGCAGGUUUAAUAGGUCCUUUUUCUAACUGAAUCCGUUUCUCAUGCACGUGAGCCAUAUGUAAGGCCUCAUCCAUGGUUGUUGGUUCAUGAAUUAGCACUGAUGUUUUAAUAUCCUCUUUUAGUCCAGAACAAAAUAAACGAACCAUUAGAGAUUCCUUUAUAUCAUUUGUUUCAUUAGCUAUAGCCUCAAACCUGCUUUGGUAUUCCGACACAGUGGUCAAUUGUCGAAUCUUUGCUAGUCGCCCUUCCGCUGAUUUGAGAUGUCGUUUUUGGAAACGAAUCAGCAAUUUUGAAGUAAAAUGUUCCCAAUCUAUUAGUUGUUUGUUCCGAAAAAGCCAUCGGUACCACUCCAAUGCUUCACUGUCAAGGUAAAAUGAGGCUUGGGGUAAUUUGUGAUUUUCCGUAAUGCAAUAGAAUUCAAAAUAGCAUUCUGCUUGAAAAAUCCACGCCUCAGGAUUCUCUCCACGGAACCGCCCCAAUUCCACUGGCGCAGGUUUGUGACGGAGUGUUGGUGCCCCGGGCCCGAGUCUCCAAUUGCAUCAGUGUCAUGGCGAUGCCGCCUCACGUCCAUUGUUGGAAUUUUGGUUUGGGGUUCCAACGUAGCUAAUUUUCCAGCCACUUCCUGUAACAUUGUUCGGAUUUUAGAAAUAUCCUUCGAACAUGAAUCCUUCACACCAUUAAUGGAAUCCUCGAGAGUUCUGAAUUUUUGGUCGUCCAUUGAAGACCUCUCAAUGAAAGCACCAAUGAAACAAAUAGGAUUGUAUAACAAUGGAAUAGUGGGUUUACUGCAUUAACUUGUAAACUAAACUUACAUUGAAGAUGCUAAACAACUGGAAUGAAAUUACCAACCACAAUAUAGAAGAAGUAGAAAGGGGUGAGAAGAGAGAAUACAAAUGGAGAUGAGAACAGAGAAACUGCAAUCACAAAUGCCUCAUCCACUUAGAUCUAUCCCUAGGUAUUUAUAAUUAAUUCACACGAUAAAAUCAGUUAACUUUUUUUAGGGUUGUUUCACACGUGCACUUCGCCUCAACACAGGUUGAAUGUCCACGAGGUUUCCUUCUGAAGUGUCAUCUUUGUCAGCGCCCAUGUCAGCAGUGUUAUUUAUAACAUAAUUGCAACAAUUAAUUCAACGUAAUUUCACAUCAAUUAAUAAACACAUGCGGUUUCUUUACCUUUAUUUAUUCGCAUUACGUGUACAUAUCAAUUCAAGCAAUGAAUUUCAGCAAUAUAACUAUCAUUAUGUGAUAAAUAUGUG
This 5248-nucleotide long non-coding RNA is filed under the name Nicotiana tabacum (common tobacco). RNAcentral describes it as "long non-coding RNA (NTAB_LNC006182)". The record is from RNAcentral. Lineage: Eukaryota; Viridiplantae; Streptophyta; Magnoliopsida; Solanales; Solanaceae.